CCUACGGGGUGCAGCAGUGGGGGAUAUUGCACAAUGGGGGGAACCCUGAUGCAGCGACGCCGCGUGGGUGAAGAAGCGCCUCGGCGCGUAAAGCCCUGUCAGCAGGGAAGAAAAUGACGGUACCUGAAGAAGAAGCCCCGGCUAACUACGUGCCAGCAGCCGCGGGAAUACGUAGGGGGCAAGCGUUAUCCGGAUUUACUGGGUGUAAAGGGGGCGCAGACGGCGAUGCAAGCCAGGGGUGAAAGCCCGGGGCCCAACCCCGGGACUGCUCUUGGAACUGCGUGGCUGGAGUGCAGGAGGGGCAGGCGGAAUUCUUGGUGUAGCGGUGAAAUGCGUAGAUAUCAGGAGGAACACCGGUGGCGAAGGCGGCCUGCUGGACUGCAACUGACGUUGAGGCCCGAAAGCGUGGGGAGCAAACAGGAUUAGAUACCCGAGUAGUC
Molecule: ribosomal RNA, 440 nt
Filed under: uncultured bacterium
Lineage: Bacteria
Description: partial 16S ribosomal RNA
Rfam family: Bacterial small subunit ribosomal RNA
Source: RNAcentral